CCUACGGGAGGCAGCAGUGAGGAAUAUUGGUCAAUGGGCGCAAGCCUGAACCAGCCAAGUCGCGUGAGGGAUGACGGUCCUAUGGAUUGUAAACCUCUUUUGUCGGGGAGCAAGGCCCGCCACGUGUGGCGGGAAGGAGAGUACCCGAAGAAAAAGCAUCGGCUAACUCCGUGCCAGCAGCCGCGGUAAUACGGAGGAUGCGAGCGUUAUCCGGAUUUAUUGGGUUUAAAGGGUGCGUAGGCGGAAGGUUAAGUCAGCGGUCAAAUGUCGGUGCUCAACACCGGCCUGCAGUUGAAACUGGUCGUCUUGAGUGAGCGAGAGGUAUGCGGAAUGCGUGGUGUAGCGGUGAAAUGCAUAGAUAGCACGCAGAACUCGGAUUGCGAAGGCAGCAUACCGGCGCUCAACUGACGCGGAGGCACGAAGGCGUGGGGAUCGAGCAGGAUUAGAUACCCUUGUAGUC
This 460-nucleotide ribosomal RNA is filed under the name uncultured bacterium. RNAcentral's name for it is "partial 16S ribosomal RNA". It matches the Rfam family "Bacterial small subunit ribosomal RNA", at positions 338 to 795 of the family's 1533-position model. The record is from RNAcentral.